AUACGUAGGUGGCAAGCGUUGUCCGGCAUUAUUGGGCGUAAAGCGCGCGCAGGUGGUUCCUUAAGUCUGAUGUGAAAGCCCCCGGCUCAACCGGGGAGGGUCAUUGGAAACUGGGGAACUUGAGUGCAGAAGAGGAUAGUGGAAUUCCAAGUGUAGCGGUGAAAUGCGCAGAGAUUUGGAGGAACACCAGUGGCGAAGGCGACUGUCUGGUCUGUAACUGACACUGAGGCGCGAAAGCGUGGGGAGCAAACAGGAUUAGAUACCCUGGUAGUCCACGCCGUAAACGAUGAGUGCUAAGUGUUGGGGGGUUUCCGCCCCUCAGUGCUGCAGCUAACGCAUUAAGCACUCCGCCUGGGGAGUACGGUCGCAAGACUGAAACUCAAAUGAAUUGACGGGG
Molecule: ribosomal RNA, 397 nt
Filed under: uncultured bacterium
Lineage: Bacteria
Description: partial 16S ribosomal RNA
Rfam family: Bacterial small subunit ribosomal RNA
Source: RNAcentral